CCUUUUCAGAACUAAAUCCACACAUGGUGGUAUUUGAAUCAAAAACUUCAGUUUUUUUCACAAAUGGUAUUUAAUUUUUUUUUAAAUACAAAUUAUAAAAAGUAUAUAUUAAAUUUAAUAAAAUAAAUAUUAUUGGAAUAUUUUUUUUUUAUUUUAUAGUAAGACCAUGUGAAUUAAAUAAAAAUUAUUCUAAGUUGUAAAUAGGCCAAUUUGCUCGGCCCCCUUUGAAACCCAAAAAUAAAUAAUAAUUAAAUAUAAAUAUUAACAGUCCAAAGUCCAAAUAAUUACAAUAGUUCACGGGCCAAUAACCAAUCAAAGCCCAAUUACAAGACCAGAACUUAAACCUUAUAACAGUCUACUAACAGGCUUUGACCCAAAUUAAAACACUAAUACCUAGACCCAAUAACUAAUGCCCCACAACCAAUACCCAAUCCCCAAAUUAACCCGAGACCCAAAAUCACAUUGGCCCAAAUGGCCCAGAAAUUUUAGAACCCUAGGUUUCUUUCCCAUGCGCCGCAACCAGCCAAGCUUCAGCCCUGGCCUCCGUACCGUCCAGCAGUCAUGCCCGCGCCAGCACACCGCCCCGUACCCGAGCGCACACCUGUACCUGCGAAGAAAGGGACAAACCACAGCAGCAAAUGCAUACAAGAAAAUAACAGACAGAAAAAAAUGGAAAAAUUGUAUAUUUUAUUUUUUUUCUCUUCUUCUCUUGGCUAUAAAGCCUGAAGAGAAUCAAUUGUAAAAGUUUACGUUAAGAGAGAAUACAAAAGGCUCAAUACGCAAUACAAAAAGGCGAUUAAAAUCCUAAAAGGUGAUUUCUUCUCGAGUUUCUUCUGAGUUCUUCGACUGAUCGUUUCCUUUUAGCCAUUCGCUUUUGUUUUUUUUUUAAAAAAGGGAAAUCAAACCAAAAAGAAGAGGAGACCUUACCUUGAAAGCACGCCGCGAGAUCCCUUCCUCUUCGCAGGAAUCGAACUGUCGAGGGGGUCUUAAGGCUAAAAAAGGGACUCCAAGGCUCGGAUGGUUUAGUCCCCUGUCAUGGUGAUAGAUCGGAGCCUAAAGGGACCCUUGGGAUUCGACUGAUAAACAAAGAAAAGGGGGGCUAGGGUUUGGGCAGUGGUUCGGCUGUUUGAAGGCUAUACUUAGCCUUAUAAGGAAAGCAGAAAACGACGCCGUUUAAGCCAAAUACAAUGGCUUGAAAAACGACGUCGUUUGAGGCAAUAACCGACCGGCUCCGUUUUGCUGCCCCGAUGACCCGCGUGUUUUUGCGGUGAGGGUUUAUUUUCAGGAUUAGUCCUCCUCGUUUUGUC
This 1307-nucleotide long non-coding RNA is filed under the name Gossypium barbadense (sea-island cotton). RNAcentral's name for it is "long non-coding RNA (GBAR_LNC002814)". Lineage: Eukaryota; Viridiplantae; Streptophyta; Magnoliopsida; Malvales; Malvaceae. The record is from RNAcentral.